AAGGCCUUCGGGUUGUAAACCGCUUUUGUCAGGGAAGAAAAGCUCCGGGCCAAUACCUCGGAGUUAUGACGGUACCUGAAGAAUAAGCACCGGCUAACUACGUGC
RNAcentral lists this ribosomal RNA (105 nucleotides) under uncultured bacterium. RNAcentral describes it as "partial 16S ribosomal RNA". It matches the Rfam family "Bacterial small subunit ribosomal RNA", at positions 411 to 508 of the family's 1533-position model. The record is from RNAcentral.